Molecule: ribosomal RNA, 248 nt
Filed under: uncultured bacterium
Lineage: Bacteria
Description: partial 16S ribosomal RNA
Rfam family: Bacterial small subunit ribosomal RNA
Source: RNAcentral
UACGUAGGGGGCAAGCGUUGUCCGGAUUUAUUGGGCGUAAAGAGCGUGUAGGCGGUUUGGUAGGUCCGCUGUGAAAACUCGAGGCUCAACCUCGAGACGCCGGUGGAAACCAUCAGACUAGAGUCCGGAAGAGGAGAGUGGAAUUCCUGGUGUAGCGGUGAAAUGCGCAGAUAUCAGGAAGAACACCCGUGGCUAAGGCGGCUCUCUAGUACGGUACUGACGCUGAGACGCGAAAAGCGUGGGGGAGC